This is a long non-coding RNA of Heterocephalus glaber (naked mole-rat), 1029 nucleotides long. The record is from Ensembl. Lineage: Eukaryota; Metazoa; Chordata; Mammalia; Rodentia; Bathyergidae.
GUAACUAUGCUCUUUGUAGAAUGCACCUAAGUAACCAUGACAACUUCUGUAAUCUGUCGUCAAAGGAGCAUAAUGGACUCAGAAAGCCCUGCCAGACUCUUUGUGCCCCCCCCAACACCCACUGCUCUGCUUUGUGUAAAUCCUGCUUGCUGUAUUCCCAGUGAAACGCCAAUGGAAUUAACUUUCAUAGAUGUAAAAAGAGACAGACCCUGUACUUAAGGGAGCCCUAGAGGGAGACUGGAAAGCCAGAGGAAGGAGUUGGUACCUUCCCCUUCUUGUUGCUGAUUAGUCUCUUCAAAAUCACUGCACAACGAUUCUUCAUCCAGCAGCAACAAUUCACUCCUGUUUCAGGGAGACAAACCCAGGCUAUUUGCAGCGACUGGAGGCAGCCUGUAAUAGGUUUGGAAAGGAGCUUUUAAAAUCAUUGGAAUUUCCCAGAGCAUCUGUUACCUACAAAUCCCUUGGUCCACACCUGAGUUCAUGUUAAUGAGAUGGUUUUGAAUAGAGAUUGGAUACCAGGCAGGCCAAUGUGUGAAAAGAGGGCUGGUGCUUUGAGCCCCAGGAGGGUGAAGGGGUGGAGAUUGAGUUAUCAGUUAUGCCUGCAUAAUGUGAAGCUCAUUAAGCUUCUUGGCUGGUGAACACAAUGAGAAGAAGAAUAUGUCAUGAUCCACCCACAGAGAGGAUCCGCAUGCAGGACCCACCCAGACCUCACCCCCUGAUUUCCCUUGAGUGCAGAGAAGGGAGAAGGACUCAGAACCACAUAAAUAAGACACAGAAUGGCUGUGAAUGCCCCCGCUCAUCACCUGUGGGGCCACACAACCUCACAGUGAAGAACAUGGCCAGCCACGUGCAUCCUCAGGCACCUUCUGCCCUGUCUCCACCUCUGUCAGGCUGUUUGCCUCUGUACCUUUCUGUUUGCCUCUUCUCUCCUUCACACAUGUGCUCAAGGGUAAGUAUGCUCACACACACUCACAAACACAAACACACAGUCAGGCAUACCAUCCUACCCAAGUGAUUGCAAAUCCAAAC